GACGAACGCUGGCGGCGUGCCUAACACAUGCAAGUCGAACGGAGCAGAUCCCUUCGGGGGGUUUGCUUAGUGGCGAACGGGUGAGUAACGCGUGAGGAACCUGCCUUUCAGUGGGGGACAACAGUUGGAAACGACUGCUAAUACCGCAUAAGCCCACGGCCCCGGCAUCGGGCUGAGGGAAAAGGAUUUAUUCGCUUCAGGAUGGACUCGCGUCCAAUUAGCUAGUUGGUGAGGUAACGGCCCACCAAGGCGACGAUUGGUAGCCGGACUGAGAGGUUGAACGGCCACAUUGGGACUGAGACACGGCCCAA
Molecule: ribosomal RNA, 311 nt
Filed under: uncultured bacterium
Lineage: Bacteria
Description: bacterial SSU rRNA
Rfam family: Bacterial small subunit ribosomal RNA
Source: RNAcentral